Molecule: long non-coding RNA, 426 nt
Organism: Anguilla anguilla (European eel)
Lineage: Eukaryota; Metazoa; Chordata; Actinopteri; Anguilliformes; Anguillidae
Exons: 5
Source: RefSeq, a predicted model, not a curated record
CAAGAAGCUUCGCAAGAAGAGCCAAUGGAUUAUGAAGAGCAAGAAGCUUCGCAAGAAGAGCCAAUGGAUUAUGAAGAGCAAGAAGCUUCGCAAGAAGAGCCAAUAGAUUAUGAAGUAUCCGUCCAUCCACCCAUCUAUUACCUAUCCCCGCCCAUCCGGGUCAGGGUCACGGUGGGUGCUGGAGCCAAUCCCAGCAUGCAUUAGGCCAGAGGCAGGAAUACACCAUGGACAGGUCUGCAAACUAUUGCAGGGGGACCCAGAGCUGAGAAGGACAGACCCACAAAGACAGCCCCUGGCACAGGAGCAAAACGAAAUGGAGCUGGAAGACAGGAAUGACGCUCAGUAGAGCCCUCCCCUCGGUCCGUGGAGACACAGGGCCAGGAUGCCAGGGAUGGGGCUGCAGGCCGAGGGGCUGAGGAUGCGGAU